AAGUCGUAACAAGGUUUCCGUAGGUGAACCUGCGGAAGGAUCAUUAAUGAAUUUAUGACAGGGUUGUAGCUGGCCCCAAAUCGGGGCAUGUGCACGCCUUGCUCAUUUCCAACCUUUACACCUCUGUGCACUUUACAUAGGCUUGGUCUGGGCUGUUCUUUAUUUUGGAAUGGCUGGCCGGCCUAUGCAUCUUACAAACGCUUCAGUUUUAGAAUGUCAUCUGCGUAUAACGCAACUAUAUACAACUUUCAGCAACGGAUCUCUUGGCUCUC
This 272-nucleotide unclassified non-coding RNA is filed under the name Sarcodontia pachyodon. RNAcentral's name for it is "partial internal transcribed spacer region". The stretch from base 1 to 46 matches the Rfam family "Eukaryotic small subunit ribosomal RNA", at positions 1786 to 1831 of the family's 1831-position model. The record is from RNAcentral. Lineage: Eukaryota; Fungi; Basidiomycota; Agaricomycetes; Polyporales; Meruliaceae.